CCAAUAGCGUAUAUUAAAGUUGUUGCAGUUAAAAAGCUCGUAGUUGAAUUUCGGAAUUUGUCGGUUGGUCGGGCUUCACUGUCCGCACUGACCUGAUGAGUUCCUACCUUCUGAAUAACCUUCAUGCUAUUAAGUUAGUGCGUUGGGGAAGCAGAGCUAUUACCUUGAAAAAAUUAGAGUGCUUAAAGCAAGCUUGUGCUUGAAUCGAUUAUCAUGGAAUAAUAAAAUAGGACGGAAUGGUUCUAUUUUGUUGGUUUCUAGGAUCACCGUAAUGAUUAAUAGGGAUAGUUGGGGGCAUUAGUAUUCAAUUGUCAGAGGUGAAAUUCUUGGAUUUAUUGAAGACUAACUUCUGCGAAAGCAUUUGCCAAGGAUGUUUUCAUUAAUCAAGAACGAAAGUUAGGGGAUCGAAGACGAUCAGAUACCGUCGUAGUCUUAACCAUAAACUAUGCCGACUAGGGAUCGGACGAUGUUAAUUUUUUAAUGACUCGUUCGGCGCCUUACG
Molecule: ribosomal RNA, 502 nt
Filed under: uncultured Glomeromycotina
Lineage: Eukaryota; Fungi; Glomeromycota
Description: partial small subunit ribosomal RNA
Rfam family: Eukaryotic small subunit ribosomal RNA
Source: RNAcentral